Molecule: transfer RNA, 76 nt
Filed under: Acidobacteriota bacterium
Lineage: Bacteria; Pseudomonadati; Acidobacteriota
Description: tRNA-Lys
Rfam family: tRNA
About the family: Transfer RNA (tRNA) molecules are approximately 80 nucleotides in length. Their secondary structure includes four short double-helical elements and three loops (D, anti-codon, and T loops).
Source: RNAcentral
GGGCGCGUAGCUCAAUUGGCAGAGCAACUGACUCUUAAUCAGUAGGUUGAAGGUUCAAUUCCUUCCGCGCUCACCA